GACGAACGCUGGCGGCGUGCUUAACACACGCAAGUCGAGCGGUAAGGCCCUUUCGGGGGUACGACGAGCGGCGAACGGGUGGAGUAACACGUGGGUGACCUGCCCUCCAGCUCUGGGAGUAAAGCCUCGGGAAACCGGGUACUAAUACUGGAUAUGACUCCAUGACGCAUGUUGUGGGGUGGAAAGCCUUGUGCGGCUGAGGAUGGGCCCGGCGGCCUAUCAGCUUGUUGGUGGGGUGAUGGCCUACCAAGGCGACGACGGGUAGCCGGCCUGAGAGGGCGACCGGCCACACUGGGACUGAGACACGGCCCAGACUCCUACGGGAGGCAGCAGUGGGGAAUCUUGCGCAAUGGGCGAAAGCCUGACGCAGCGACG
This 375-nucleotide ribosomal RNA is filed under the name uncultured bacterium. RNAcentral describes it as "bacterial SSU rRNA". It matches the Rfam family "Bacterial small subunit ribosomal RNA", at positions 28 to 396 of the family's 1533-position model. The record is from RNAcentral.